AUUGCAAUAUCAAUAAGCGGAGGAAAAGAAACUAACAAGGAUUCCCCUAGUAACGGCGAGUGAAGUGGGAAAAGCUCAACUUUAAAAUCUGGUACCUUUGGUAUCCGAGUUGUAGUCUCAAGAAACGUUUUCUGUGCUGGCCCAUGUAUGAGUCUGUUGGAACACAGCGUCAUAGAGGGUGACAACCCCGUUCAUGACAUGGACCCCAGUACUUUGUGAUACGUUCUCGAAGAGUCGAGUUGUUUGGGAAUGCAGCUCAAAUUGGGUGGUAAAUUCCAUCUAAAGCUAAAUAUUGGCGAGAGACCGAUAGCAAACAAGUACCGUGAGGGAAAGAUGAAAAGCACUUUGGAAAGAGAGUUAACAGUACGUGAAAUUGUUGAAAGGGAAACGAUUGAAGUCAGACGUGCGUGAUGCAGUUCAGCCCAGGUUCGCCUGGGUGUAUUCUGUAUCUUUGCAGGCCAACAUCGGUUUUGCGAGACGGAUAAAGGUUAGAGGAAUGUAGCAGGUUCGCCUGUGUUAUAGCCUCUGACUGAAUACGUUUUGUGGGACCGAGGAACGCAGCGCGCCGCAAGGCAAAGGUUCCGACCUUUUCGCGCUUAGGAUGUUGGUGAAAUGGCUUUAAACGACCCGUCUUGAAACACGGACCAAU
Molecule: ribosomal RNA, 649 nt
Filed under: Rhodotorula sp. YS-2011
Lineage: Eukaryota; Fungi; Basidiomycota; Microbotryomycetes; Sporidiobolales; Sporidiobolaceae
Description: eukaryotic LSU rRNA
Rfam family: Eukaryotic large subunit ribosomal RNA
Source: RNAcentral